ACUACUUACAAAUGAACACUGGUACCGUAUAUAUCCAUACAUGCAACCAUAACUUGGAAAAGUACUUUCCCUUGCCUGUGUCCAUUCUCUCCUCCCCCGCCCCCUUUCCUCUUUCCUGUUUUCUUUUUUCUGCCACCAAGUCACUUCAGCAGUGAUAUCAGCAUGGCAGACUGUAGGGAGCAGGAGGGCUGGCCUUUUGAAAUGUGAUGCCUCAGAGUAUUUGGCAAAUGAUUUAGAGCCUCUGUUGUGCCUGGGAAGGCUGCAGUGAAGAGAAGUGGAGGCGUCUCCUUGCUCCUCUCUUUCUGAGAGAUGCGUCUUCUGUAUUGAUCCACUAUAAAACCACUCUCAGAUCUGAAGACAAGAGAUACAAAUUCCAUAGAGGCUCAUCUGCUAUUACCUGAAUGAUUUUGGUUUAGUAACUUCCCCUGAACCUGGGAUCUAUAAAAUGAGGUGGUCAGACAAGAUGACCUCUAGGAUCCCUUCUCAUGGGAUAUCCUUUCCUGCAGACACUUCUCUUCCUUCAAAACAAGGUCCUUGGCCAAUAGGACAGUAAAGGAAAACAAUAAAUGUUGGAGGGGAUGUAGCAAUAUUGGGACACUAAUGCAUUGUUGGUGGAGCUGUGAAUUGAUCCAAUCAUUCUGGAAGGCAAUUUGGAAUUAUGCGCAAAAGGCUAUAAAACAAAGUACACCCUCUGAUCCAGUAGUACAAUUGCUAGGUCUAUAUCCAAGAGAGGUUUUAAAAAAGGUGUAGGGGAAAGGAUCUACUUGUACAAAAAUGUUAAUAGCAGCUCUUUUUGUGGUGGCCAAAAACUGGAAACUAAAGGGAUGUCCCUUAAUUGGGGAGUAGCUGAACAAAUUGUGGGAUAUGAUGGUGAUGGAAUACUAUUGUGGGGUAAAGAACGAUGAAGAGGAAGAUUUCAGAAAGAACUGGAAAGACCUCUGUGAACUGAUGCAGAGUGAAAUAAGCAGAACCAGAAGAACAUUGUACACAGUAACUGCAAUAUUGUAAGAUACUCUCAGCAAUCCAAGAUAAUUCUGAAGAAAUUAUGACAAAGAAUGCUCUCCACCUCAGAAUACAGAUGAAAGCAGGAGGUUUUUCACGUGUUUAUUGGGGUUUAUGUUUUGGGGUUUGGGUUUUAUAAAAUUAUUCUCUUCCAAAAAAUAAACAAUAUGGAAAUA
Long non-coding RNA from Monodelphis domestica (gray short-tailed opossum), 1178 nucleotides. RefSeq lists it as uncharacterized. Lineage: Eukaryota; Metazoa; Chordata; Mammalia; Didelphimorphia; Didelphidae. The record is from RefSeq and is a predicted model, not a curated record.